ACGAACGCUGGCCGGCGUGCUUAACACAUGCAAGCGAACGGAGGAUAGGAAGAGCUUGCUCUCCGAAUCUUAGGUGGCGGACGGGUGAGUAACGCGUGAGCAACCUGCCUUUCAGAGGGGGACAACGUUUGGAAACGAACGCUAAUACCGCAUAAGAUCGUAGGGCCACAUGGUCCAGCGACCAAAGGAGCAAUCCGCUGAAAGAUGGGCUCGCGUCUGAUUAGAUAGUUGGUGGGGUAACGGCCUACCAAGUCGACGAUCAGUAGCCCGGACUGAGAGGUUGAACGGCCACAUUGGGACUGAGAUACGGCCCCAGACUCCUACGGGAGGCAGCAGUGGGGAAUAUUGCACAAUGGGGGAAACCCCUGAUGCAGCAACGCCGCGUGAAGGAUGACGGUUUUCGGAUUGUAAAACUUCUGUUCUCGUUGACGAAGACAGUGACGGUAAACGAGGAGCAAGCCACGGCUAACUACGUGCCAGCAGCCGCGGUAA
RNAcentral lists this ribosomal RNA (492 nucleotides) under uncultured bacterium. RNAcentral's name for it is "bacterial SSU rRNA". It matches the Rfam family "Bacterial small subunit ribosomal RNA", at positions 29 to 523 of the family's 1533-position model. The record is from RNAcentral.